This 253-nucleotide ribosomal RNA is filed under the name uncultured bacterium. RNAcentral's name for it is "partial 16S ribosomal RNA". It matches the Rfam family "Bacterial small subunit ribosomal RNA", at positions 524 to 776 of the family's 1533-position model. The record is from RNAcentral.
UACGGGGGGGGCAAGCGUUGUUCGGAAUUACUGGGCGUACAGGGCGCGUAGGCGGCCUUCUAAGUCAGACGUGAAAUCCCUCGGCUCAACCGAGGAACUGCGUCUGAUACUGGAAGGCUUGAAUCCGGGAGAGGGAUGUGGAAUUCCAGGUGUAGCGGUGAAAUGCGUAGAUAUCUGGAGGAACACCGGUGGCGAAGGCGGCGCACUGGCCCGAUACUGACGCUGAGGCACGAAAGCGUGGGGAGCAAACAGG